This 132-nucleotide small nucleolar RNA is filed under the name Castor canadensis (American beaver). Its description in RNAcentral is "Small nucleolar RNA SNORA32 (ENSCCNG00000001100.1)". It matches the Rfam family "Small nucleolar RNA SNORA32". Rfam says of the family: ACA32 is a member of the H/ACA class of snoRNA that guide the sites of modification of uridines to pseudouridines. Lineage: Eukaryota; Metazoa; Chordata; Mammalia; Rodentia; Castoridae. The record is from Rfam by way of RNAcentral.
UCCUAAUUUGAGAGGCUUUGAAUACAGUAAUCAGAACAGUUCUGUCAUUUGCUGGGGACAUGAGCAUAAAAAAUUUUUCCAGUAGGUUUUCUGAAUGCUACCUUGUUAACAAUCAACCUAUUGGGAAUAGUA